Molecule: long non-coding RNA, 975 nt
Filed under: Drosophila guanche
Lineage: Eukaryota; Metazoa; Arthropoda; Insecta; Diptera; Drosophilidae
Source: RNAcentral
AACAUAAAAAUCGCUGGCAAUGAGUCGAAUUCAUAUCAUAAUGCGCUCUCCGGGCAGACUAGAAACCGAUUUCUACUAUUUCAAAAAUAAGCCGAUGCUACGGUUAAAGGAAACCUAUGCUGAUGUCCAUUCUCUGAGCCUUAGAAAUCUCACUUUUCGCUUUGAAGGAGUACUGGUCCAGGACAGCGCAACGGCGAGUAGCAUGUCGCUUCGCAACUACGCCUCCAUAGAUGUAACCAUUUUAGAUGAAGAAGAAGCAGGAGAAGAAGAAGAAGAAGCAGAAGAAGAAGCAGAAGAAGAAGAAGCAGGAAAACCAAGCAGCUAUUUUCCUUCUCACUGUCGGCUGCAGUAAAAAUGUUUAAGUUUUCUUAUUUUCUUGCAGUUCUGUUCAACUGCGUAGCCUCUUUCCAUAUUUAAGGAUUGCUUAUAGUAUGCCUUGACCAAGCACUUACCAGACUGACUGACUUAUCUCUCUCUUUCUCUCUCUCUCUCAUUCCAAAAACUUCACAGUUCAAGUCAGAAGUACAACAUACAAAGAACAAAGAAAAAACUCCGAAAAUGGAACGAGAUCCACUAAAAGACAUCACCGUCGUGCAGACUGAUAAGAAAAAGACCCAACAGAACACCCAAAAUGGACAACAAGCCCGCAGAUGCUUCGAGAUCUUUCGAGACGCUAACUGAUGGGCGGACAAGAGAGUGAGUUUCAGAGCUCCCCUUCCGGAGCUCUUCAAGUUCUUUGACCGUUUGGCUCAGUCUAGGAGUCCGAUGAGUAUUAUCGAUUCAUCACAAAAAUCGUUAUCUCUUGGGAUCUUCAUAUUUAGUUUGGAAAACAGCAGAAUUCCCACAAAAUACAAAAGCACACACAACACACUAUCGCAAACCGCAAAGAGCAGGAAAUAAACGGUUUCGGAUCUUUGAAUUUUCUUCGAAACGUCAAAAAGUUUCAGACUCUGUUAGACCAAUAAAAAACUGAUG